CCUACGGGUGGCUGCAGUAGGGAAUCUUCCACAAUGGGCGAAAGCCUGAUGGAGCAACGCCGCGUGGGUGAAGAAUGUCCUCGGAGCGUAAAACCCUGUUGUUAGAGAAGUAAGUGCGUGAGAGUAACUGGUCACGUUUCGACGGUAUCUAUCCAGAACGCCACGGCUAACUACGUCACAGCAGCCGCGGCAAUACGUAGGUGGCAAGCGUUAUCCGGAUUUAUUGGGCGUAAAGGGAACGCAGGCGGUCUUUUAAGUCUGAUGUGAAAGCCUUCGGCUUAACCGGAGUAGUGCAUUGGAUACUGGGAGUCUUGAGUGCAGAAGAGGAAGGUGGAACUCGAUGUGUAGCGGUGAAAUGCGUAGAUA
This 366-nucleotide ribosomal RNA is filed under the name uncultured bacterium. Its description in RNAcentral is "partial 16S ribosomal RNA". It matches the Rfam family "Bacterial small subunit ribosomal RNA", at positions 338 to 696 of the family's 1533-position model. The record is from RNAcentral.